GGGCCAGUAGGUUGGUCGUGCCACCGGUACGUACUGGUCUCACUGAUUCCUCCUUCCUGAAGAACCGUAAUGCCAUUAAUUUGGUGUUGCGGGGAAACAGGACUGUUACUUUGAAAAAAUUAGAGUGUUUAAAGCAAGCUAACGCUUGAAUACAUUAGCACGGAAUAAUGAAAUAGGACGAUCGAUCCUAUUUUGUUGGUUUCUAGGAUUGACGUA
This 216-nucleotide ribosomal RNA is filed under the name Glomeromycotina sp. RNAcentral's name for it is "partial small subunit ribosomal RNA". The stretch from base 40 to 216 matches the Rfam family "Eukaryotic small subunit ribosomal RNA", at positions 686 to 864 of the family's 1831-position model. Lineage: Eukaryota; Fungi; Glomeromycota. The record is from RNAcentral.